Molecule: long non-coding RNA, 499 nt
Filed under: Homo sapiens (human)
Lineage: Eukaryota; Metazoa; Chordata; Mammalia; Primates; Hominidae
Description: novel transcript
Source: RNAcentral
CGACAGAUGGAGAGUGCCUUUCUACUGCCUGUGUGUCCUCAAUACUGCUCUGAUUGGCCUUCUCCAGUCCACUGCUCAUCCCAUGGCUAUUGUGCCUGCUGAGUGCAUCCCCAAAAUGAUCCACUGCAUGAAGUUCAUGGAGGAACAAUGUGGAACUCCACUUUGUGACGCCUGUGUUCCAGCCAGAGGGAGCCGGUGCCUGCUAUGGAAGAAAGGUCUGCCUGUGCUUUGGGGAAAAAGUAGUCCACCACGAUCUACCUUUGCUCUUUGACCUCUCAAGAGACCCUUCUGAGACCCACAUCCUCACACCAGCCUCAGAGCCCGUGUUCUAUCAGGUGAUGGAACGAGUCCAGCAGGUGAUGCGGGAACACCAGCGGACACUCAGCCCAGUUCCUCUGCAGCUGGACAGGCUGGGCAAUAUCUGGAGACCGUGGCUGCAGCCCUGCUGUGGCCCAUUCCCCCUCUGCUAGUGCCUUAGGGAAGAUGACCCACAAUAAAU